Molecule: transfer RNA, 74 nt
Filed under: Planctomycetota bacterium
Lineage: Bacteria; Pseudomonadati; Planctomycetota
Description: Planctomycetes bacterium tRNA-His
Rfam family: tRNA
About the family: Transfer RNA (tRNA) molecules are approximately 80 nucleotides in length.
Source: RNAcentral
GUGAGUGUAGCUCAGUUGGUUAGAGCAUUAGGUUGUGGUCCUAAGGGUCGCGGGUUCGAAUCCCGUCACUCACC